GGACUAUAGCUCAGAGGCAGAGUAUGUGCUUUGCAUGCACAGGGUCCUGGCUUCAAUCCCCAGUUCCUCCA
Molecule: transfer RNA, 71 nt
Filed under: Camelus bactrianus (Bactrian camel)
Lineage: Eukaryota; Metazoa; Chordata; Mammalia; Artiodactyla; Camelidae
Also listed under: 2 other names
Rfam family: tRNA
About the family: Transfer RNA (tRNA) molecules are approximately 80 nucleotides in length.
Source: Rfam by way of RNAcentral